GCGGUGGUGGUGGAAUGGUAGACACGCAAGUUUGAGGGACUUGUGGCCGUACGGCUGUGUGGGUUCAAAUCCCGUUCACCGCA
RNAcentral lists this transfer RNA (83 nucleotides) under Kandleria vitulina. RNAcentral describes it as "tRNA_Leu_GAG". It matches the Rfam family "tRNA". Rfam says of the family: Transfer RNA (tRNA) molecules are approximately 80 nucleotides in length. Their secondary structure includes four short double-helical elements and three loops (D, anti-codon, and T loops). Lineage: Bacteria; Bacillati; Bacillota; Erysipelotrichia; Erysipelotrichales; Coprobacillaceae. The record is from RNAcentral. RNAcentral also lists the same sequence under 1 other name.